AUUGAACGCUGGCGGCGGGCUUAACACAUGCAAGUCGAGCGGGGUGAUGGUGCUUGCACUAUCACUUAGCGGCGGACGGGUGAGUAAUGCUUAGGAAUCUGCCUAUUAGUGGGGGACAGCAUCUCGAAAGGGAUGCUAAUACCGCAUACGUCCUACGGGAGAAAGCAGGGGAUCACUUGUGACCUUGCGCUAAUAGAUGAGCCUAAGUCGGAUUAGCUAGUUGGUGGGGUAAAGGCCUACCAAGGCGACGAUCUGUAGCGGUUCUGAGAGGAUGAUCCGCCACACCGGGACUGAGACACGGCCCAGACUCCUACGGGAGGCAGCAGUGGGGAAUAUUGGACAAUGGGGGGAACCCUGAUCUAGCCAUGCCGCGUGUGUGAAGAAGGCCUUAUGGUUGUAAAGCACUUUAAGCGAGGAGGAGGCUCUUUUGGUUAAUACCCAAGAUGAGUGGACGUUACUCGCAGAAUAAGCACCGGCUAACUCUGUGCCAGCCGCCGCGGUAA
RNAcentral lists this ribosomal RNA (503 nucleotides) under uncultured bacterium. RNAcentral describes it as "partial 16S ribosomal RNA". It matches the Rfam family "Bacterial small subunit ribosomal RNA", at positions 30 to 523 of the family's 1533-position model. The record is from RNAcentral.